This 1818-nucleotide long non-coding RNA is filed under the name Rosa chinensis. RNAcentral describes it as "sRNA RchiOBHm_Chr2g0117171". The record is from RNAcentral. Lineage: Eukaryota; Viridiplantae; Streptophyta; Magnoliopsida; Rosales; Rosaceae.
GACCUUAGUUUUCCCUAUCUCUUCCCUCCACGUCUCUUCCCACCGCCGAGUCGCCGUUCAGUGGAUUUGCUCCACUGCCGAGUCGUCCGCCACCUCCCACCACCACCAUGUUUUCUGCUCCUAUCAUCGAGAUUCCGUGGAUCGAUUGAGCUCCAAAUUAAAGAACAUUGAAGUGAUCACCGCUCUCAGAGAUUCGGGCCACCGGAAUCCGGGUCUUGAAGUUUCUGAAACCCAUUUGGAGAAAGUUGAGAACUUUGGCCUUGUCUUGCUCAUUUGCUAUCUUGGGUACCAGAAAAGGCCACCAAGCUUCAGUUACAGAAAGCCACCCAUUACACUUCCAAAGAUCUUUGCUUUCAACUCUUUCCUCAAUCGGAAGCCAGUUUGCUUGGAUCAAGAAGCUUCGACCAGCCAAGAAGGAAGACAUUGAGACUUGGAUUUAUAUAUGCUCCAUUUAUUUAUCAUUGAAGGUAGACAGAACUCUCCCAGAAACCUUGAUAUUUAGGUUUUGAUGGCAGUUACUAGCAUCGAUCAGGCUCUGAGAUAGAGAGGUUGGACUGAAAACGAGUUGCUGGGGUGGGAAAGAGAAGAGGAGGGGUUCAAGAUUGUGGUGGACUUAGAGACGAUACACCAGGGCCUUGCCUAUUCCUAAUAAUCAGGGGAUGAAGAAGAGGAUGAAGAGCAGCAAUAUCAUUGUUCAGAUAGCCAAAAGUUUGAGGAGCAAAUUUUGUCUUCUUGGUGCCUCUUUUGGGAUACGGGCUAUGAUCUGGCUUUAAAUCAUAGUCCAUUCUCAACCCGAUAGGCGACCAUUCUCUAUAAGGUACCAGCUCUGGAGCACAAUGUAAAGAUACAAGAAUGUACUAGCAGCGGCUUUUUAUCUGCGAAACUGGUAUGUGCUAGCAGCAGCCUUUCAUCUAACAAGUCUGAAAGAUUGGAGAAAGUUCCACUGAGUAAAGUUUUGAUUUGGGGUGGUAGGGGUAAGAGGAAAAUGAAAAAUGUAAUGAGAAGCAAAGCAAGAAGCAGCUCCUUAUUUGAGAAAUAGUUGAGAAUUCUUACUGUUGUAUAAAUAGUUGAGUAAUUCUGACUGUUGUGCCUUGAACCAUAUAAAAAAGAUGGACAAUAUAAAAUAAUCAUGAUAAUUAAAACAAAAAUGUAUUCAGAUGAGUUGUUGAUAGGUAGAAUUGGGUUUUUUGUGUAGUUGAUGUUUUAAGAUUUGGGCUUCUGGAGGAUACGCCAUCAAACAGGUAUGAGGAAGGGUGUAAUGUAUUUAGUACCUGCAUCUCUUGCCUUCCUUAAAUUCUGAUAUACUCUUUUAUUUAUUUAUUUAGAAAUACUGGAAAUUGUAAUGCCGAUGAUGAUGGGAGUCCUAAUGAAAGUGAUCGGAAAACGCUACGGCCUCCAAGUUGUUCCAAAACAUUCAAUGUUGAAACUAGCCAUGCUGCAAAAAUUCCCAUGAAUUGAGCAUAUCCUUUUUUCAUAUUUCUGAUUAAAUAUAUGUAUUUUCAGCACCUUUCUUAUUUGUACUCCUAUAUGUUUAGAGUGAGAAGCCACUACUAAUCUAGAAUCUUUGACACCUGCUCACAUCUGUUUGAUGGCUUAUCCUCUAGAGCAAGUGAGGCUAACUUAGUCUUCUUUGGGGACUUUGAAGAAAAGAACAGAAUUUUAGCAGGGUAGAGGGAACCCAAUCAUAUUAGCUACCAUUUGACUGGAUCCAGUGGAUUACUAUUUGAUAGAGCGCGCAUGAAUUCCUCUGCUGAGUUCAUAUUUCCUUGCCUGAGUUGAGAGCCGGGGUUUUACUUUUGGUGUGAUUGGAGGAAUGGA